CUUAACUGGGCGUUAAGUUGCAGGGUAUAGACCCGAAACCCGGUGAUCUAGCCAUGGGCAGGUUGAAGGUUGGGUAACACUAACUGGAGGACCGAACCGACUAAUGUUGAAAAAUUAGCGGAUGACUUGUGGCUGGGGGUGAAAGGCCAAUCAAACCGGGAGAUAGCUGGUUCUCCCCGAAAGCUAUUUAGGUAGCGCCUCGUGAAUUCAUCUCCGGGGGUAGAGCACUGUUUCGGCAAGGGGGUCAUCCCGACUUACCAACCCGAUGCAAACUGCGAAUACCGGAGAAUGUUAUCACGGGAGACACACGGCGGGUGCUAACGUCCGUCGUGAAGAGGGAAACAACCCAGACCGCCAGCUAAGGUCCCAAAGUCAUGGUUAAGUGGGAAACGAUGUGGGAAGGCCCAGACAGCCAGGAUGUUGGCUUAGAAGCAGCCAUCAUUUAAAGAAAGCGUAAUAGCUCACUGGUCGAGUCGGCCUGCGCGGAAGAUGUAACGGGGCUAAACCAUGCAC
Molecule: ribosomal RNA, 513 nt
Filed under: Escherichia coli
Lineage: Bacteria; Pseudomonadati; Pseudomonadota; Gammaproteobacteria; Enterobacterales; Enterobacteriaceae
Description: partial 23S ribosomal RNA
Rfam family: Bacterial large subunit ribosomal RNA
Source: RNAcentral